Molecule: long non-coding RNA, 776 nt
Organism: Xyrauchen texanus (razorback sucker)
Lineage: Eukaryota; Metazoa; Chordata; Actinopteri; Cypriniformes; Catostomidae
Exons: 3
Source: RefSeq, a predicted model, not a curated record
ACAGUGAGACAAACUGUCUAUAAAUGGAGAUGAUUUAGUACUAUAGGUACUCUCUCUAGAAGUGGCCGUUAGAUAUUCAUCUGUCCACAGUUAGACAAACUGUCUAUAAAUGGAGCUGAUUUAGUACUAUAGGUACUCUCACUAGAAGUGGCCAUUAGAUAUUCAUCUGUCCACAGUUAGACAAACUGUCUAUAAAUGGAGGUGAUUUAGUACUAUAGGUACUCUCACUAGAAGUGGCCAUUAGAUAUUCAUCUGUCCACAGUGAGACAAACUGUCUAUAAAUGGAGAUGAUUUAGUACUAUAGGUACUCUCUCUAGAAGUGGCCAUUAGAUAUUCAUCCGUCCACAGUGAGACAAACUGUCUAUAAAUGGAGGUGAUUUAGUACUAUAGGUACUCUCUCUAUAAGUGGCCGUUAGAUAUUCAUCCGUCCACAGUGAGACAAACUGUCUAUAAAUGGAGAUGAUUUAGUACUAUAGGUACUCUCUCUAGAAGUGGCCGUUAGAUAUUCAUCUGUUCACAGUGAGACAAACUGUCUAUAAAUGGAGAUGAUUUAGUACUAUAGGUACUCUCUCUAGAAGUGGCCGUUAGAUAUUCAUCUGUCCACAGUUAGACAAACUGUCUAUAAAUGGAGAUGAUUUAGUACUAUAGGUACUCUCUCUAGAAGUGGCCGUUAGAUAUUCAUCUGUGCACAGUUAGACAAACUGUCUAUAAAUGGAGGUGAUUUAGUACUAUAGGUACUCUCUCUAGAAGUGGCCGUUAGAUAUUCAUCUGUCCAC